AAUAAAGUUCCAGCUUAAUAAAAAACGGUUUAAAUAAAUUAAGUAAAUUUCGCGGCUAAAGUGAUCACGUGUGCAGCUCCGCAGGAAAAAAAAAUCUGCUUUCCUCAGCAGAGACGUCGACUAGCCAUACUCCUCACAACUCCUGUUUCGUAACUUAAUCGAGGUCACCUGAAGGACGGCGUUCCUGAGUUUCCUCAGCAACGGCAAGACCCGCACUCCUCUCAUAUCGGGAAGUUUAACGAGUUUCGCGGCUCAAGCAAGAGGCACCUGUCACUGAAGGACUGCUUUUCUCAGCAACGACGUGA
Molecule: long non-coding RNA, 305 nt
Organism: Carassius auratus (goldfish)
Lineage: Eukaryota; Metazoa; Chordata; Actinopteri; Cypriniformes; Cyprinidae
Exons: 3
Source: RefSeq, a predicted model, not a curated record